GCCCAUAUGGCUUAGUUGGUAAAGCGUAUCACUAGUAAUGAUAAGAUCCUCAGUUCGACUCUGAGUGUGGGCA
Molecule: transfer RNA, 73 nt
Organism: Coccidioides posadasii str. Silveira
Lineage: Eukaryota; Fungi; Ascomycota; Eurotiomycetes; Onygenales; Onygenaceae
Rfam family: tRNA
About the family: Transfer RNA (tRNA) molecules are approximately 80 nucleotides in length.
Source: Rfam